GACAGAGGGUGCAAACGUUGCUCGGAAUCACUGGGCGUAAAGGGCGCGUAGGCGGGGAUGUAAGUCGGGCGUGAAAUCCCCAGGCUCAACCUGGGAACUGCACUCGAAACUGCGUUUCUUGAGUAUCGGAGAGGAAAGCGGAAUUCCUGGUGUAGAGGUGAAAUUCGUAGAUAUCAGGAGGAACACCGAUGGCGAAGGCAGGUCUCUGGGCUGACACUGACGCUCAUGCACGAAAGCGUGGGGAGCAAACAGG
Molecule: ribosomal RNA, 253 nt
Filed under: uncultured bacterium
Lineage: Bacteria
Description: partial 16S ribosomal RNA
Rfam family: Bacterial small subunit ribosomal RNA
Source: RNAcentral